CACGAGAGAACUAACAAGGAGAACAUGAAUGAGAAAUGAUUUGCCUAAGAACAAAAGGUCUGAUAAGGCAAACAUGCAAGAGAGAAAGGGUUCGCCUAAGAACGAGAGGACUGACAAGGCGAAUAUGAAUGAGAAAUGAUUUGCCUAAGCACGAGAGGUCUUACAAGGAAAAUAAUAAAAAGAAAUGGUUCUUGGUUCAGAGAUGGGUGCUUAGCCAUGAGGUG
This 224-nucleotide long non-coding RNA is filed under the name Lathyrus oleraceus (garden pea). RNAcentral describes it as "Pisum sativum (pea) long non-coding RNA (PSAT_LNC004803)". Lineage: Eukaryota; Viridiplantae; Streptophyta; Magnoliopsida; Fabales; Fabaceae. The record is from RNAcentral.